GAUCUGUGCUAAGAGCUUUCAUUUCAUCAUAAUAUAAAACAGCAGAUCCGUCACCUUUCUCUAUUCAGUACUCUUGAUUUCGAGGUUGAAGUGAAAAUUAGAAGCUGUUCUUUCUGGCUCACAGACUGGGUUGCAUUUGCUUAGUCUUAUUCCAUGCCAGUAGGAUGGAAAGAGGUCAGUAACACUGGAAUCUGACUGAUCGUUCCUACCUACCGGAGUAUUGUACACAAACACAAAGCACCUUCAAAAUGGACUACUUUUUGGAUGUUGAGUCUGCUCACAGACUGUUUUACAGUCAAGGAGCCCAAGCUCGUCGGGCAACUCUUCUCACUGUGCCCACUCUGGUGACAGCAACUUCUGAGGAUGACAUAGACCGGAGACCCAUCAGAAGACUUCGGUCUAAGAGUGACACCCCUUACUUGGAAGAAGCACGGAUCUGCUUCAACCUUG
This is a long non-coding RNA of Ficedula albicollis (Collared flycatcher), 450 nucleotides long. RefSeq lists it as uncharacterized. The record is from RefSeq and is a predicted model, not a curated record. The transcript has 3 exons. Lineage: Eukaryota; Metazoa; Chordata; Aves; Passeriformes; Muscicapidae.